UGGGGAAUCUUGCGCAAUGGGCGAAAGCCUGACGCAGCAACGCCGCGUGAGCGAAGACGGCCUUCGGGUUGUAAAGCUCUGUCAGGAGGGACGAAGCCACUCAGGUGAAUAGCCGAGAGGGUGACGGUACCUCCAGAGGAAGCCCCGGCUAACUACGUGCCAGCAGCCGCGGUAAUACGUAGGGGGCAAGCGUUGUCCGGAAUCAUUGGGCGUAAAGCGCGCGUAGGGGGCCAUCCAAGUCUGGUGUGAAAGCCCGGGGCUCAACCCCGGGUCUGCACUGGAAACUGAAUGGCUUGAGUCCGGAAGAGGAGACUGGAAUUCCUGGUGUAGCGGUGAAAUGCGCAGAUAUCAGGAAGAACACCGGUGGCGAAGGCGGGUCUCUGGGACGGUACUGACGCUGAGACGCGAAAGCGUGGGGAGCAAACA
RNAcentral lists this ribosomal RNA (426 nucleotides) under uncultured prokaryote. RNAcentral describes it as "bacterial SSU rRNA". It matches the Rfam family "Bacterial small subunit ribosomal RNA", at positions 355 to 774 of the family's 1533-position model. The record is from RNAcentral.